RNAcentral lists this ribosomal RNA (236 nucleotides) under uncultured bacterium. RNAcentral's name for it is "partial 16S ribosomal RNA". It matches the Rfam family "Bacterial small subunit ribosomal RNA", at positions 524 to 757 of the family's 1533-position model. The record is from RNAcentral.
UACGGGGGGGGGCAAGCGUUGUUCGGAAUUACUGGGCGUAAAGGGCUCGUAGGCGGCCAACUAAGUCAGACGUGAAAUCCCUCGGCUUAACCGGGGAACUGCAUCUGAUACUGGAUGGCUUGAGUUCGGGAGAGGGAUGCGGAAUUCCAGGUGUAGCGGUGAAAUGCGUAGAUAUCUGGAGGAACACCGGUGGCGAAGGCGGCAUCCUGGACCCGACACUGACGCUGAGGAGCGAA